UACGUAGGGUGCAAGCGUUAAUCGGAAUUACUGGGCGUAAAGCGUGCGCAGGCGGUUGUACAAGACCGAUGUGAAAUCCCCGGGCUUAACCUGGGAAUGGCAUUGGUGACUGCACGGCUAGAGUGUGUCAGAGGGGGGUAGAAUUCCACGUGUAGCAGUGAAAUGCGUAGAGAUGUGGAGGAAUACCGAUGGCGAAGGCAGCCCCCUGGGAUAACACUGACGCUCAUGCACGAAAGCGUGGGGAGCAAACAGG
RNAcentral lists this ribosomal RNA (253 nucleotides) under uncultured bacterium. RNAcentral describes it as "partial 16S ribosomal RNA". It matches the Rfam family "Bacterial small subunit ribosomal RNA", at positions 524 to 776 of the family's 1533-position model. The record is from RNAcentral.